GCGUUUUGAUGGCCUUACUGAUCC
Molecule: non-coding RNA, 24 nt
Filed under: Arabidopsis thaliana (thale cress)
Lineage: Eukaryota; Viridiplantae; Streptophyta; Magnoliopsida; Brassicales; Brassicaceae
Source: RNAcentral